CAAAUAAAACAAUAUCUAAUAUGGAAAUGAUAUUAGCUGUAGCAAGGGCUGUGCAAGAUUUUAUACUCACCGAUAUACCUGUAUCUGAUGACUUGAGUGUAAUUGAAUCAACAAAGAGAAGAAAGUAUUUAACGGUGAUCGCCAUUAACACUGCUUUUAGCAGUCGAUAGAGGAGAGACUCUGUUCGUGCGACAUGGAUGCAACAAGGAUAAUAAGUUUGCCUCCAAAGGCAAAAGAAACUAGAGCAUGUGCGGGACAUCCAUCUGAUGAUCUCCCCACAGCCGGAGCAUAACUCUGAUAUUGUUGCUGAGAAUAGCUUUCCACAUUCUGAUUACCAUAGUAAUUACUUGAGUAGCAGAAUUCGGUUGCCAGAUGUUCAAAUCCUGCUGGUUGGCAGCCCGACAAGAGCUCAGGAACAAUCAAGAAACAACUUUCACCUGUAGCACCAGUUCUCGAACAACUAUGGAUACAAAAAGACAAGAGAAUUAAAGAAUUCUCUAAUGUACAGUCUCAAAUACAAAUAAUAUAUGGUGAAAUCGCGGUUACUGCUGAGCACGUAGGUAAUCCUGAAACCGAUGAGUCUGAUUUAUUACCGAAGAAAUUAGAAGAUUCUUAUGUUCAGCUUUGACAACUACAAAAAGAAAAGAGUCAGAGGUUGAAAAAAGUCCUAGAGUUUAUGAGUGCAAUUCAUGAUCUUUGUGCUGUCCGUGGAAUAGACUUUUUAGUAUUGUGACUGAAGUCCAUCCACGCCUUAAACGAUUCCAGUGGCUUGCAAUAUAAAGGCAUUAACAAUGACACUUCAUCUCGGCUGGCUACGACUGUCUCGGCCCUGCAAGAGGAUAAACAACAAAGGAUGUCAACAAGAGCUAAUGUUUAUAUACAUCACCAUGGUGAUUUGGAUAUUACAAAACCGAGCUAUCAUGGUGGGAAGGUGGAUACGAUCAAUCUUGACACAGAUGAGUUCUCUUUUCGUGAUUUGGAAGAUUUUAGUAAGGAAUUUGAAUAUGAUCCUAUAGCUC
Molecule: long non-coding RNA, 1019 nt
Organism: Daucus carota subsp. sativus
Lineage: Eukaryota; Viridiplantae; Streptophyta; Magnoliopsida; Apiales; Apiaceae
Exons: 5
Source: RefSeq, a predicted model, not a curated record